Non-coding RNA from Dipodomys ordii (Ord's kangaroo rat), 139 nucleotides. The record is from Ensembl. NCBI's taxonomy places the organism in Eukaryota, Metazoa, Chordata, Mammalia, Rodentia, Heteromyidae.
AAUGGAAGCUGCAAGAACCAUCCAUGUGGACAAAUGAGGAGUACCCUUUGUCUGCAGAUAGCAGCAUCCUACAUAAACAUGGAGGUCUCUGUCUGACUUGGCACAGCUGGCUAAGUCUGAUCGUUCCCCUCCAGACACU